RNAcentral lists this ribosomal RNA (253 nucleotides) under uncultured bacterium. RNAcentral's name for it is "partial 16S ribosomal RNA". It matches the Rfam family "Bacterial small subunit ribosomal RNA", at positions 524 to 776 of the family's 1533-position model. The record is from RNAcentral.
UACGGAGGGUGCAAGCGUUAUCCGGAUUCACUGGGUUUAAAGGGUGCGUAGGUGGGUUGGUAAGUCCGUGGUGAAAUCCCCGAGCUUAACUUGGGAACUGCCAUGGAUACUAUUAAUCUUGAAUGUCGUGGGGAUGAGCGGAAUAUGUCAUGUAGCGGUGAAAUGCUUAGAUAUGACAUAGAACACCAAUUGCGAAGGCAGCUCGUUACGCGAAUAUUGACACUGAUGCACGAAAGCGUGGGGAUCAAACAGG